RNAcentral lists this ribosomal RNA (368 nucleotides) under Salmonella enterica subsp. enterica serovar Enteritidis. Its description in RNAcentral is "bacterial LSU rRNA". It matches the Rfam family "Bacterial large subunit ribosomal RNA", at positions 2010 to 2377 of the family's 2925-position model. The record is from RNAcentral. Lineage: Bacteria; Pseudomonadati; Pseudomonadota; Gammaproteobacteria; Enterobacterales; Enterobacteriaceae.
GCCAGGCUGUCUCCACCCGAGACUCAGUGAAAUUGAACUCGCUGUGAAGAUGCAGUGUACCCGCGGCAAGACGGAAAGACCCCGUGAACCUUUACUAUAGCUUGACACUGAACAUUGAGCCUUGAUGUGUAGGAUAGGUGGGAGGCUUUGAAGUGUGGACGCCAGUCUGCAUGGAGCCGACCUUGAAAUACCACCCUUUAAUGUUUGAUGUUCUAACGUGGACCCGUUACCCGGGUUGCGGACAGUGUCUGGUGGGUAGUUUGACUGGGGCGGUCUCCUCCUAAAGAGUAACGGAGGAGCACGAAGGUUGGCUAAUCCUGGUCGGACAUCAGGAGGUUAGUGCAAUGGCAUAAGCCAGCUUGACUGCG